GAUAAAGUAUACCUCUAUAAAUGAAAAGAAAAAAGAAACCAGAUUCACCUGUUCAUAACAACCGGUGCAAGCACACCUGCGCAGCUGUGCGUGGCGGUUCUCCACAGAAGGUUCUUCAAGAAGCUCUGGACUAGUGUAGUCCGGAACUGUGCAGAAACUAGAACUAUGCCAUCAAACCCACCCAAAGAAGCAUCAAAUCGGGAACCAAAACAAACCGUUGGCAGCAGCAGCGUCGGUGGCAGAAGGAAGGCAGCGGACAGCAGCUUCCCAGCGCCAGCAGAGACGUUGACGUGACGGUGGCUGUGACGUCGCCGACUCCCGCUGCCCGCUGCCAGGAGACGGAAACCUGUGGCAUUGCUGCUGGCUCCACUUGACUGCAACUCCAGCUUUCCAGCCACCUACUUGCAUAAUCGAAAGCGGAUGAGGUGCAGCGAUUUGGCCGAAAAUUUAAGGUUCGAUCAACGGCCGUCGAGGGGGUGGGGUGAACGGUACAUUUUGUUGGUAUACUCAUGAAAACGAAACGAAAGCUGCCUGGUCGGUCUCCGGUAUGUACAGUGGGACUCUGAAGUGUUGACACAGCUGUUCUAAUUUGUGCUUAUCUAUUGACCUUUCCAAAGCCCUAUAUUUUAAUUUUCCGAAUUCUCAUCCUAUUCAAUAUUAAAAUAAAAUCCAUAGUUUCGUCUAAAGAACUGAGCAACUUAUUUAUUU
This is a non-coding RNA of Drosophila melanogaster (fruit fly), 708 nucleotides long. NCBI's taxonomy places the organism in Eukaryota, Metazoa, Arthropoda, Insecta, Diptera, Drosophilidae. The record is from Ensembl.